This 400-nucleotide ribosomal RNA is filed under the name uncultured bacterium. RNAcentral describes it as "bacterial SSU rRNA". It matches the Rfam family "Bacterial small subunit ribosomal RNA", at positions 28 to 423 of the family's 1533-position model. The record is from RNAcentral.
GAUAAACGCUGGCGGCGUGCCUAAUGCAUGCAAGUCGAACGGAUGUUGUCUUCGGACAGCAUUAGUGGCAAACGGGUAGAGUAACACGUGGGGAGUCUGCCCAGUAGUGGGGAACGAACUCCGAGAAAUCGGAGCUAAUACCGCAUACGGUAGGUGUUGAGGAACACCAUACUAAAGACCGACGUAAGAAGGCGCUAUUGGAGGAACCUGCGGCUGAUUAGCUAGUUGGUGGGGUAAAGGCCUACCAAGGCGAUGAUCAGUAGCUGGUCUGAGAGGAUGGACAGCCACACUGGGACUGAGAUACGGCCCAGACUCCUACGGGAGGCAGCAGCAAGGAAUUUUCGUCAAUGGGGGAAACCCUGAACGAGCAACGCCGCGUGGGCGAAGAAGUCUUUCGGGA